This 715-nucleotide unclassified non-coding RNA is filed under the name Hevea brasiliensis (rubber tree). Lineage: Eukaryota; Viridiplantae; Streptophyta; Magnoliopsida; Malpighiales; Euphorbiaceae. The record is from RNAcentral.
UUUUUUUUUUUAAAUCAAUCAAUUCAAUUAUUGAACGGAGUAGCAAAGGUAACCAACAAUUUUACAAGUAUUUACAUUUAUACAAACUGUUGAUAGGAAAGGAGGAAUUAAACAGAACUUGCACACGGGGUGACACUGGAAGGAACCACAUAAUUAACAUAGCACGCUUACAAAUUUUCAAUUUAUUUUGCUCAUUGCAACGGAGUGGCCCUCUUCAGAGUGCCCUUAAACAGACUUUGCUAGUUGUGUGAACACCCUUUGCAGCAAGUUUUAGUAUAGCUCGACUCCGAUAUAGCCCCCACAGGGUAAGUCCCCAGGUAGCCAAGGUAUAAAACAGCUGUCCUGCAUGCCAAAUAUCUAUCAUCUUCCCAUAUUUGCACAUCCCACCUAAUGCUUUUGCCACAGUCUUCUGCAACUCCUCUGGUGUCAUAUUCUUAGACUUUGGAUUUGACACGAUGCAUUUAGCUAUGAAGUUGGCAACCCCAUCCACCACAUGUUCCUCAGUAACAACUACAUAAUUUUCAUCAUCAAUUCCACUAUGUUCUUCAACAUUGUUGGGAACCAUUUCUUCUGUGACCCAUACCCACCAACUAGGUUCAUCACAAGAGACAUUAAUCAGAAUUUCAGCAGAAUGAAUAUCAUCCCCUGUAGCUUCCUUGAAGGGGAAUUCAAUGAUAGUUUUGUUGGCUGAAGCCUGCUGAAGGGAUUUAAGUCG